RNAcentral lists this unclassified non-coding RNA (143 nucleotides) under uncultured fungus. RNAcentral describes it as "sequence contains ITS1". The record is from RNAcentral. Lineage: Eukaryota; Fungi.
UUGUUUCUUGUUUUUGAUUCAGACACAAAGGCUGAUUAAAGCAUAAAAGCGGCGCCGAAGCACAUCUUGCUUCCACAGGUUUACAAGGUUGAAGGCCGAGAGGCCAUUCAGUAAUGAUCCCUCCGCAGGUUCACCUACGGAGA